RNAcentral lists this transfer RNA (71 nucleotides) under Bursaphelenchus xylophilus (pine wood nematode). It matches the Rfam family "tRNA". Rfam says of the family: Transfer RNA (tRNA) molecules are approximately 80 nucleotides in length. Their secondary structure includes four short double-helical elements and three loops (D, anti-codon, and T loops). The record is from Rfam by way of RNAcentral. Lineage: Eukaryota; Metazoa; Nematoda; Chromadorea; Rhabditida; Aphelenchoididae.
UCUCCGUAGUUUAGUGGUAAAAAUUUAAAUUUUUAUUCAAAAGGUUGCGGGUUCGAAUCCCACUGGAAGAA